CCUGUUCGGCAGCCGCCACAGGGAUGGAAUGUGGGCCCUCGAGGCCUGAACCAACGA
This 57-nucleotide non-coding RNA is filed under the name unclassified sequences. The record is from Rfam.